Molecule: ribosomal RNA, 513 nt
Filed under: uncultured bacterium
Lineage: Bacteria
Description: bacterial SSU rRNA
Rfam family: Bacterial small subunit ribosomal RNA
Source: RNAcentral
AGAGUUUGAUCCUGGCUCAGAACGAACGCUGGCGGCGUGCCUAACACAUGCAAGUCGAACGGUAACAGGGACUUCGGUCCGCUGACGAGUGGCGCACGGGUGAGUAACGCGUAGAUAAUCUACCUCGGUGUCUGGGAUAACAUUUCGAAAGGGGUGCUAAUACCGGAUACGUUAUAGAUGUAGCAAUGCAAUUAUAGUAAAGGUGGCCUCUUUUAAGCUACCGCAUCGAGAUGAGUCUGCGUACCAUUAGCUAGUUGGUGGGGUAAUGGCCUACCAAGGCGACGAUGGUUAGCGGGUCUGAGAGGAUGAUCCGCCACACUGGAACUGGAACACGGACCAGACUCCUACGGGAGGCAGCAGUGAGGAAUAUUGCGCAAUGGGGGCAACCCUGACGCAGCGACGCCGCGUGGGUGAGGAAGGUUUUAGGAUCGUAAAGCCCUGUCAGGUGGGAAGAAAUGCGUAUAAGUUAAUACCUUAUACGUUUGACGUACCACCAAAGAAGCACCGCUAACU